RNAcentral lists this ribosomal RNA (281 nucleotides) under Aspergillus hiratsukae. Its description in RNAcentral is "partial 28S ribosomal RNA". It matches the Rfam family "Eukaryotic large subunit ribosomal RNA", at positions 351 to 650 of the family's 3401-position model. The record is from RNAcentral. Lineage: Eukaryota; Fungi; Ascomycota; Eurotiomycetes; Eurotiales; Aspergillaceae.
GAGUGAUCGAAAGAUGAAAAGCACUUUGAAAAGAGAGUUAAACAGCACGUGAAAUUGUUGAAAGGGAAGCGUUUGCGACCAGACUCGCCCGCGGGGUUCAGCCGGCAUUCGUGCCGGUGUACUUCCCCGUGGGCGGGCCAGCGUCGGUUUGGGCGGCCGGUCAAAGGCCCUCGGAAUGUAUCACCCUUCGGGGUGUCUUAUAGCCGAGGGUGCAAUGCGGCCUGCCCGGACCGAGGAACGCGCUUCGGCUCGGACGCUGGCGUAAUGGUCGUAAAUGACCC